RNAcentral lists this ribosomal RNA (253 nucleotides) under uncultured bacterium. RNAcentral's name for it is "partial 16S ribosomal RNA". It matches the Rfam family "Bacterial small subunit ribosomal RNA", at positions 524 to 776 of the family's 1533-position model. The record is from RNAcentral.
UACAGAGGUCUCGAGCGUUAGGCGGAAUCACUGGGCUUAAAGCGUGUGUAGGCGGAUCGGUAAGUACCUUGUGAAAUCCCACAGCUUAACUGUGGAACUGCUUGGUAUACUGCCAGUCUUGAGCCAGCUAGGGGCUACCGGAACAAAUGGUAGAGCGGUGAAAUGCGUAGAUAUCAUUUGGAACGCCAAUGGUGAAAACAGGUAGCUGGGGCUGUGCUGACGCUGAGACACGAAAGCCAGGGGAGCAAACGGG